This 254-nucleotide ribosomal RNA is filed under the name uncultured bacterium. RNAcentral's name for it is "partial 16S ribosomal RNA". It matches the Rfam family "Bacterial small subunit ribosomal RNA", at positions 524 to 776 of the family's 1533-position model. The record is from RNAcentral.
UACGGGGGGAGCAAGCGUUGUUCGGAUUUACUGGGCGUAAAGGGCGCGUAGGCGGUCAGCACAAGUCAGUUGUGAAAUCUCCGGGCUUAACUCGGAAAGGUCAACUGAUACUGUGCGACUAGAGUGCAGAAGGGGCAACUGGAAUUCUCGGUGUAGCGGUGAAAUGCGUAGAUAUCGGGAGGAACACCGGUGGCGAAGGCGGUUCUCUGGGCCUGUACUGACGCUGAGGAGCGAAAGCGUGGGGAGCGAACAGG